AGGCUGCAGCAAGGAAUAUUGUGCAAUGGGCGAAAGCCUGACACAGCGACGCCGCGUGGGGGAUGAAGGCCUUCGGGUCGUAAACCCCUUUUCUCAGGGAAGAAUAAUGACGGUACCUGAGGAAUAAGUCUCGGCUAACUACGUGCCAGCAGCCGCGGUAAUACGUAGGAGGCAAGCGUUAUCCGGAUUUAUUGGGCGUAAAGCGCGUGUAGGCGGCUCUUCAAGUCGGAUGUAAAAUCUCCUAGCUCAACUAGGAGGGACCAUUCGAUACUGCUAGGCUAGAGUUCAGCAGGGGGAGGUGGAAUUCCCGGUGUAGUGGUGAAAUGCGUAGAUAUCGGGAGGAACACCAGUGGCGAAGGCGACCUCCUGGGCUGCAACUGACGCUGAGACGCGAAAGCGUGGGGAGCGAACAGGAUUAGAUACCCUAGUAGUC
Molecule: ribosomal RNA, 433 nt
Filed under: uncultured Dehalococcoidia bacterium
Lineage: Bacteria; Bacillati; Chloroflexota; Dehalococcoidia
Description: bacterial SSU rRNA
Rfam family: Bacterial small subunit ribosomal RNA
Source: RNAcentral